AGCGAACGCUGGCGGCAGGCUAACACAUGCAAGUCGCACGAACUCUUCGGAGUUAGUGGCGGACGGGUGAGUAACACGUGGGAACGUGCCUUUUGGUUCGGAAUAACUCAGGGAAACUUGUGCUAAUACCGAAUGUGCCCUUCGGGGGAAAGAUUUAUCGCCAUUAGAGCGGCCCGCGUCUGAUUAGCUAGUUGGUGAGGUAACGGCUCACCAAGGCGACGAUCAGUAGCUGGUCUGAGAGGAUGACCAGCCACACUGGGACUGAGACACGGCCCAGACUCCUACGGGAGGCAGCAGUGGGGAAUCUUGCGCAAUGGGCGAAAGCCUGACGCAGCCAUGCCGCGUGAAUGAUGAAGGUCUUAGGAUUGUAAAAUUCUUUCACCGGGGACGAUAAUGACGGUACCCGGAGAAGAAGCCCCGGCUAACUUCGUG
This 432-nucleotide ribosomal RNA is filed under the name uncultured bacterium. RNAcentral describes it as "partial 16S ribosomal RNA". It matches the Rfam family "Bacterial small subunit ribosomal RNA", at positions 29 to 507 of the family's 1533-position model. The record is from RNAcentral.